Molecule: ribosomal RNA, 454 nt
Filed under: uncultured bacterium
Lineage: Bacteria
Description: bacterial SSU rRNA
Rfam family: Bacterial small subunit ribosomal RNA
Source: RNAcentral
CGAUCGGGAGUAGCAAUACUGCCGGCGACCGGCGCAAGGGUGCGUAACGCGUGAGCAACAUGCCCGUAUCAGGGGGAUAAUCCAUGGAAACGUGGUCUAAUACCCCAUAGUAAUUAUGUAAGGCAUCUUAUAUAAUUUAAAGCUUUGGUGGAUACGGAUUGGCUCGCGUGACAUUAGCUGGAUGGUAAGGUAACGGCUUACCAUGGCUACGAUGUCUAGGGGUUCUGAGAGGAAGGUCCCCCACACUGGAACUGAGACACGGUCCAGACUCCUACGGGAGGCAGCAGUGAGGAAUAUUGGACAAUGGAUGGAAAUCUGAUCCAGCCAUGCCGCGUGCCAGGAAGACGGCCCUAUGGGUUGUAAACUGCUUUUGUAUGGGAGCAAUAAGGGCUACGUGUAGUCCGAUGAGAGUACCAUACGAAUAAGCACCGGCUAACUCCGUGCCAGCCGCCGC